Molecule: ribosomal RNA, 727 nt
Filed under: Alloalcanivorax dieselolei
Lineage: Bacteria; Pseudomonadati; Pseudomonadota; Gammaproteobacteria; Oceanospirillales; Alcanivoracaceae
Description: bacterial SSU rRNA
Rfam family: Bacterial small subunit ribosomal RNA
Source: RNAcentral
CGAUGGGAGCUUGCUCCCAGGCGUCAAGCGGCGGAGGGUGAGUAACACGUGGGAAUCUGCCCAUUAGUGGGGGAUAACUCGGGGAAACUCGAGCUAAUACCGCAAAAUCCCUACGGGGGAAAGCAGGGGAUCUUCGGACCUUGCGCUGAUGGAUGAGCCCGCGUCGGAUUAGCUUGUUGGUGGGGUAAUGGCCCACCAAGGCGACGAUCCGUAACUGGUCUGAGAGGAUGGCCAGUCACACCGGGACUGAGACACGGCCCGGACUCCUACGGGAGGCAGCAGUGGGGAAUCUUGGACAAUGGGCGCAAGCCUGAUCCAGCCAUGCCGCGUGUGUGAAGAAGGCCUUCGGGUUGUAAAGCACUUUCAGUAGGGAGGAAGGCUUCGGGUUAAUACCCUGGAGUACUUGACGUUACCUACAGAAUAAGCACCGGCUAAUUUCGUGCCACCAGCCGCGGUAAUACGAAAGGUGCGAGCGUUAAUCGGAAUUACUGGGCGUAAAGCGCGCGUAGGCGGUGUGUUAAGUCGGAUGUGAAAGCCCAGGGCUCAACCUUGGAAUUGCAUCCAAUACUGGCACGCUAGAGUGCAGUACCAGGGAGGUGGAAUUUCCGGUGUAGCGGUGAAAUGCGUAGAGAUCGGAAGGAACACCAAUGGCGAAGGCGGCCUCCUGGACUGACACUGACGCUGAGGUGCGAAAGCGUGGGGGAGCAAACAGGAUUAGAUACCCUGG